GCUAAUACCGGAUAACGACAGAUGAUGCCUAUCAACUGUUUAAAAGAAUGGUUCUGCUAUCACUAUUGGAUGGACCUGCGGUGCAUUAGCUAGUUGGUAGGGUAACGGCCUACCAAGGCGAUGAUGCAUAGCCGAGUUGAGAGACUGAUCGGCCACAUUGGGACUGAGACACGGCCCAAACUCCUACGGGAGGCAGCAGCG
This 201-nucleotide ribosomal RNA is filed under the name uncultured Lactobacillus sp. RNAcentral describes it as "partial 16S ribosomal RNA". It matches the Rfam family "Bacterial small subunit ribosomal RNA", at positions 162 to 356 of the family's 1533-position model. The record is from RNAcentral. Lineage: Bacteria; Bacillati; Bacillota; Bacilli; Lactobacillales; Lactobacillaceae.